CACUUACAGGUGCCAUUUGAAGAUUAAAACUGAAUUGAUUAAAUGGAGAUAAAAUUGAAUCUCCUUCCUCAGUCACAAUUGGCCACCUUUCAAGGGCUUGGUUGCCACAUGUGGUUCGUGGUUACGCUGGCUAGUGCAGAAUGACAGACUGCUUCCCUCGCUGCAAAAACUUCCCUUGGCUGGUGCUUAUCCACAGAAGCGGUUCUCGACAUCGUCACUAUUGAUGUCUUGGGCUGAUGACUCUUGGUUGUAGAGAGCUGCCUCGUGCAUUGUAGGAUGCUUAGCAGCAUCUCUGGCCUCUACCCACUAGAUGCCAGUAGUAACCCACCCCCAGUGUGACAAGCAACUAUCUCCAGACAUUGCCAAAUGUCCCUUGCGGAGGGAGGGGGGAGGGGGGAGGGGGAUAGUGAUGGGAAAAUUGCCCCAGUUGAGAGCUACUGGGCUAGAUCAUAUAGACCAUCAGAGACAUCCCUGGAGGUGGGGGCAUAAAGAUACAGGUAGGCUGGACCAGUUUCCUUCAGGCUGGGAUAGAAGCAACAGAACAUGCAGCCUGCUCCAUCAGGAUGGCUCAGACAGGCAUCCAGAGUUCUUGGACAAGAGUGAAAGAUGGAAAGACAGAGGGAAGGCUGGCAAGGAGGCGGUACGUCUCACCUGGGUUGAGCACUGCAGCUGCCUCCUCUAUAACCUCCCAGCCUCCUGUUCUCCCCCCCCACUCCCCCCCGCAGUCAGCCCUACAUGCUGGCUGCUAGAGUGAUGGGUGAGCAGAAACAGCCUGGACUGUCAUUUCCUUCCUUAAGUACGCCUAGUAGUUUCCCAUUGUUCUUAAAAUCAAGAUACUUUGGGAGUUCCCCAGUGGCCUAGUGGUGAAGGAUCCAACAUUGUCACUGCUACACAGUCACUCGGGUCACUGCUGCUGUGGGGGUUCAAUCCCUGGCCUGGGGACCCCUGCAUGCUGUGGGUGCAGCAAAGGAAAAAUCAAGACGAUUUUGGCCUGAUACCCAGAUCUCUCAUACACUGGUUGUUUCCUCAGCUUUUGCAGGUUCCUUCCACGGUCCUCUAAUUUCCUGUGGACCACACUGGUCUCUUCCCGAGCCACACCCUUUCACGCUUUGCAUCAGUGGUUCCCUGUGCCCGGAAUGCCCUUUCUCUCUCUCUCUCUCUCUCUGGCUUUCCUGUGUCACGGGCCCCCAAGACUACCCACUGAUCACCGGAAGAACUCUUGGAACUUAGCGUGUAGUUGUCUUCGCAUCUACAGUUCCUUACAGUGAAAAGAUGCAUGAGAGUGAAAGCAAGAAGGACAUCAGGUGGUCUGGCUUCCUCGGCUCUUCCUCCCACGAGGGACCACACCGAGCCUGCUCCCUACCCCAGCCGUGAAAAUGUAGCCACAAGUAUGCAGUGCUUCCGCCCAGGGAAGCCUGUUAGAGUCUCAGAGUACAGUUUUUACGAGGGGCUGAUCACAGGGGCAUUCUUAGUCUCGCAGCUCCCAAAACAGCAGAGUCCCAGAAGGAAAGCAAGAAUUCCACUGCAAACACUUUUUUUUGGUAGAAUUUAGUCCCAACCAAGCAGCUUUAUCUUAGGAAAUAUUUCAAUAGCCAAGCUCCUCAACACCAGACAAGGACCAACCUUGUAAGCAAGCCCUUCUAAAGACAGCAGCUUCAAGCUUACUGUGUUCAUUCUUUUCUGUAGCUUUUCUCUCCCAGAUCAAAGGUCACUCUCUUUGUAAAUCUUUGCUUGCUUCCCAGGUAAAGCUAGUUCAUGGUCUCUGGGACUCUAUGGCUUUCUCUGGUUCCUUGUAUUGUAAAAGAAACCAUGAGGAUUUGUAAUUGCCUGUGUGUUUUGCAUCCAGACUUUGCACGUGUUGAAGGCACACUGAAGGCUGGGCCAGCACAGGGCUCAGCACCCUUACGGGACUUGCUAUGUGUUUACUGAAUAAAUAGGUGACUGGAAAGCAUUAAUGUAUAAUAGACUUAGAAUACAGAGGACACAGACCACAUACAUGGCCCCCCUGCCCUUAGGGGAGGGUGUAGGGAAGGCCCAGGCCCGGUGAGAUGGAGCAGGUGAGCUCAGCCAGACAUCCAUCCAUCCUGGCCCACCAUCCACAGCUAGACCUGGUGGUCCAUCAGCCAUGAGAGCCAACAGUAGCUAAGCUCACAUCCCCCAUCUUCUGCCAGCCAAGGAGAUCACACCUUCCCCAGGUGGCAGCUCAUUGGCUGGGAGCAUCACGUUGGGAGCAGCAGCAUCCAUGCUAGACCUUUGGCAAAGCAUCCUGAGAUGCCCAUGUGGGCCAGGUAAGGGAAGGAGACAUCGCUGGCUAGAGAAUAAUCUUCAGCAUCCCUUUAAGAUGGGGCUCUUACAGGAUGUUCCCUGGGAGGAGUGAGGCAGAGGGGGGCUGCCCUCAAUGUCCCAGAGCCCUUUAGUUGGAAAAGGCAGCUCAUGUACACUCCUUGGACUUCGGGAUUCAGGUGACCUGUGCUGGAAUUCCAGCCCCAUCAUUUGCUGUGAGAUCUGGAGGUACCUUAGAUUCCGGGAGCUUCAGUUGCCUCACCUGUCACAUAAGAAGAAAACCUCCUCCACGAGGUUGUAAGGGUCACAUGGCACAAGGGGUCUGGCCUAGUCCCAUCCCAGUGCCCGGAAAGGGGAGUUGCUCGUGACUGCCAUCAUUGUGGGCACUAUGCAGUUAUUGCUGGCAUGUAGGGCUCAGUGUGCUUGACGCCUUCCAGUGAAGAGCAGAGGAGGGCCCCAACGUGGCCUGUGCUUUGGGCAGUGGCUCCAGUUAACACAAGUGUGUUUGGACCCCAGAGCUCACCAUGCCCAGCGGGCCAUCUUGGUCAGCCAGCCUCACCCUGGGCAAACAGCUCUGGCCAAAAUGCAAAACAGCCCCAGAGACUUUGGGGGUAACCAUGGCAACUGCCUCCUGAGUGGGAUUAUUGUUACUUUAUCAGAAAAUUUCUUCCUUCACCUUUCGGAUACUCCAAAGUCGCUUCAUUUUUAAGUGUGGUUUUACUAUAUCUCGGAGCAAAAUCUUUUUGCAGCAGAAAUCCUUCCCCAGUUGAGUGAUGCAAGCCAAUUGCAAAGAGUCUAGAAAUCUGCUCCAGUGACAACUUUUUUUCCUGCAAGUUGCCUGGGAUCACUGCCUAUUUUUACCCCCGGUGAAGAGUAUCAUCAGGACCAGGUGAUGUGGCCGUCACAUUCUCUUGCUGUGGAUGAUCAGUUUUUCUCCCUCUGGGGUCUCCUUCAAGAUGCUCCAUCCAUCGUUAGGAGCAGGAGACUGUGGGCUCCUAAGGCAGGAACCUCCUCCCAGCACCAGUAGAUGUGGGCCUGUGGCUGAGCUCCUAGCACCAAGCUGGGAGAAGAGAAGGAGAAGUUCAACUUUCCAGCGAUGAGAUAGCAGGUGAGACGUUUUACCUCAUGGGUCCCAGGUUCCUCACUGUGAAAAGGGUUAAUGACACCAAGUUAUCAGCCCCAUGUACUGUCUGGCAUCUAAUAAGUGCUUUAUUAUUAUUUUUUUUAAUGGCCACACUCAUGGCAUAUGGAAGUUUCCAGGCCAGGGAUCAAAUCCCAGUUGCAGGUGCUACCCGAGUCACUGCAGUCAGGUUCCUAACCCACUGCACCCCAGCGGGAACUCCAAAUAAGUGCUUUUUAACAGAAUGAAUGAAUAGAUGGAUGAAUGAAUGAAUGAAGAAUCUAAUUAAUGAAUUCCUUGCUGUGUCUCUUGCAAGGCUCAAAUGAAAGAACAGUUACAGAAGUUCAUCAUAAGCUGCAAAGUGCUCUUAAGUGCGCGGAUGGCUGUCCUUGUGGUUGAUAAUGAAAACACUGCCUGCUUGGCCAGCAGAGUCACCUCCUGCCAAUCCUGCUGGUCUCAGGCUGGCUUCUUCAUGUCCUGCCUCAAAAGUCUUCACUCCUCGUGGGGGAAAGUGCAUGCUCUUGACCUUGACAGCAAGAUCCCCACAGUUCGGUUCUGGUCCGACUUUGCAGGUGAAUCCCUUUGUGUCCUUCUGUGCUCCAGCUGGUCAGGAUUCAGACUGAAAGCCACCUCCUUCUGGCGACAGUGAAGGAGGAAAAGUGAUUGCCAAAGUCGCAGCAUCAGAGCUCACCCAUCUUAUUCCUUUUGAGGGAGGAAGAAAAUCCUGUGGGGGUCAUUCCAUGACCUAACCUGUUCCCAGGAAAUGGCCGUGCUGCCCUUCACCCCUUUAGCUUAGACUCCCUGAGCAAGGAGCCUGGAUGGGCCCCCAGCCCAGAGGCCAUGAUGUGGCUGGGGCAAAGCUGAGCCCCUCCCAUGGCCUUUGUUGGGGGCCAUAGGACCUGGCUUCCUGCUUUGCCCACCCAGUGCAACUGUCUGCAGAGCAGGGAGCAAGACUGGGUAAGAGUGGCCUGGAGAAAUCAAGCAUAGGCCAAGCGCCCAGUGCAAAUACUGUGCACCCUCUCCCUGAUGCAAACGCUGCCCCAGGGAAGUUUGACAGAUGACACCCAACGGAGGAAGGAGCCAGCUCAGCUCCUCAGCAUCCAUUUCUCUCGUCCUCACCCCACCUGGACCUGGCCAUGUGACUCCAUUCUGAGGCUCUGUGGUCCCACGUCUGGGUCUCUCCAACUGAAGCCUGGCCUUAACAGAGCCCUAGGGGAGGAGCUGCUGAGGGGAGAAUGGGGUCACCCUGGGGACAGAAGAGGCUGAAGGAGUCAGGUGAGGCCAGGGGCGUGGGUAAGGUCACCUGGAGUUGAUGUCCGGUGAGAAGAGAACCUGGACCAGAAUCCUGAGGGUCAUCACUUUUUUUUUUUUUUUUAAUGGCCACACCUACAACAUACAGACGUUUCUGGGCCAGGGAUUGAAUCUGUACCACAGAGGUGACCAUUGCUGCAGCUGUGUCAACACCAGAUCUUUUAACCCACUGCACAAGGCUGGGGAAUGAACCUGCACCUUCACAGUGACCUGAGCCACUGCAGUUGGAUUGCAUUUCCCAGGUAUAUGGAAGUUCCCAGGCUAGGGGUCCAAUUGGAGCUACAGUCGCUGGACUACACUACAGCCACAGCAA
RNAcentral lists this long non-coding RNA (5027 nucleotides) under Sus scrofa (pig). RNAcentral describes it as "lncRNA (ENSSSCG00065066109.1)". The record is from RNAcentral. Lineage: Eukaryota; Metazoa; Chordata; Mammalia; Artiodactyla; Suidae.